GAUGAACGCUGGCGGCGUGCCUAAUACAUGCCAGUCGAGCGAACGGACGAGAAGCUUGCUUCUCUGAUGUUAGCGGCGGACGGGUGAGUAACACGUGGAUAACCUACCUAUAAGACUGGGAUAACUUCGGGAAACCGUAGCUAAUACCGGAUAAUAUUUUGAACCGCAUGGUUCAAAAGUGAAAGACGGUCUUUCUGUCACUUAUAGAUGGAUCCGCGCUGCAUUAGCUAGUUGGUAAGGUGACGGCUUACCAAGGCAACGAUGCAUAGCCGACCUGAGAGGGUGAUCAGCCACACUGGAUCUGAGACACGGUCCAGACUCCGACGGGAGGCAGCAGUAGGGAAUCUUACGCAAUGGGCGAAAGCCUGACGGAGCAACGCCGCGUGAGUGAUGAAGGUCUUCGGAUCGUAAAACUCUGUUAUUAGGGAAGAACAUAUGUGUAAGUAACUGUGCACAUCUUGACGGUACCUAAUCAGAAAGCCACGGCUAACUACGUG
Molecule: ribosomal RNA, 497 nt
Filed under: uncultured bacterium
Lineage: Bacteria
Description: partial 16S ribosomal RNA
Rfam family: Bacterial small subunit ribosomal RNA
Source: RNAcentral